CAGUAGCCGCGGUAAAACGUAGGGCGCAAGCGUUGUCCGGAAUUAUUGGGCGUAAAGAGCUCGUAGGCGGUCUGUCGCGUCUGGUGUGAAAUCCCGAGGCUCAACCUCGGGCUUGCAUCGGGUACGGGCAGACUAGAGUGCGGUAGGGGAGACUGGAAUUCCUGGUGUAGCGGUGGAAUGCGCAGAUAUCAGGAGGAACACCGAUGGCGAAGGCAGGUCUCUGGGCCGCAACUGACGCUGAGGAGCGAAAGCGUGGGGAGCAAACAGGAUUAGAUACCCCCGUAGUCCCUGUCUCUUAUAC
RNAcentral lists this ribosomal RNA (301 nucleotides) under uncultured bacterium. RNAcentral describes it as "partial 16S ribosomal RNA". It matches the Rfam family "Bacterial small subunit ribosomal RNA", at positions 509 to 807 of the family's 1533-position model. The record is from RNAcentral.